ACUCUCGGCAACGGAUAUCUCGGCUCUCGCAUCGAUGAAGAACGUAGCGAACUGCGAUACUUGGUGUGAAUUGCAGAAUCCCGUGAACCAUCGAGUCUUUGAACGCAAGUUGCGCCCGAAGCCAUUAGGCCUAGGGCACGUCUGCCUGGGCGUCACGC
This 158-nucleotide ribosomal RNA is filed under the name Veratrilla baillonii. Its description in RNAcentral is "5.8S ribosomal RNA". It matches the Rfam family "5.8S ribosomal RNA". Rfam says of the family: 5.8S ribosomal RNA (5.8S rRNA) is a component of the large subunit of the eukaryotic ribosome. It is transcribed by RNA polymerase I as part of the 45S precursor that also contains 18S and 28S rRNA. The record is from RNAcentral. Lineage: Eukaryota; Viridiplantae; Streptophyta; Magnoliopsida; Gentianales; Gentianaceae.